UGGCUCAGUAGGUAGGGCAUUGCAUUUGCAAUGCCAGGGUUGUGGGUUUGAUUUCCAC
RNAcentral lists this transfer RNA (58 nucleotides) under Salmo salar (Atlantic salmon). Lineage: Eukaryota; Metazoa; Chordata; Actinopteri; Salmoniformes; Salmonidae. The record is from Rfam by way of RNAcentral.